UUUUAGCUGAUGGUUGCGUUAGGGAUAGCAAUGGAAAUCCUUUUUAUGAGGCACGAAUAAAAAGAUUGUAAUGGAUAGCCCGACCCUUG
Molecule: small RNA, 89 nt
Filed under: Siansivirga zeaxanthinifaciens CC-SAMT-1
Lineage: Bacteria; Pseudomonadati; Bacteroidota; Flavobacteriia; Flavobacteriales; Flavobacteriaceae
Description: Flavo-1 RNA
Rfam family: Flavo-1 RNA
Source: Rfam by way of RNAcentral